Molecule: ribosomal RNA, 585 nt
Filed under: uncultured bacterium
Lineage: Bacteria
Description: bacterial SSU rRNA
Rfam family: Bacterial small subunit ribosomal RNA
Source: RNAcentral
UAACGCAGCUAACGCGUGAAGUAGACCGCCUGGGGAGUACGGUCGCAAGAUUAAAACUCAAAUGAAUUGACGGGGGCCCGCACAAGCGGUGGAUUAUGUGGAUUAAUUCGAUGCAACGCGAAAAACCUUACCUGGCCUUGACAUGUAACGAACUUUCCAGAGAUGGAUUGGUGCUCGAAAGAGAACGUUAACACAGGUGCUGCAUGGCUGUCGUCAGCUCGUGUCGUGAGAUGUUGGGUUAAGUCCCGCAACGAGCGCAACCCUUGCCAUUAAUUGCCAUCAUUUAGUUGGGCACUUUAAUGGGACUGCCGGUGACAAACCGGAGGAAGGUGGGGAUGACGUCAAGUCCUCAUGGCCCUUAUGGCCAGGGCUUCACGCGUAAUACAAUGGUCGGUACAGAGGGUUGCCAAGCCGCGAGGUGGAGCCAAUCCCAGAAAGCCGAUCGUAGUCCGGAUUGUAGUCUGCAACUCGACUACAUGAAGUCGGAAUCACUAGUAAUCGCGGAUCAGCAUGUCGCGGUGAAUACGUUCCCGGGCCUUGUACACACCGCCCGUCACACCAUGGGAGUGGGUUUUACCAGAAGUA